Molecule: non-coding RNA, 71 nt
Organism: Amphimedon queenslandica
Lineage: Eukaryota; Metazoa; Porifera; Demospongiae; Haplosclerida; Niphatidae
Source: Rfam
GUGUUUGUAGCUCAAUAGGUAGCAUUUGCCUUCUAAGCAAGACGUUAUGGGUUUGAGUCCUAUCAGACAUU